GUUUCGUGGCGCAAUUGACUGAAUAUUUAAUGAAGUUUGUGGUAUAAGAAUCUUUUCUACUACGUGCAUGGUUAGGCUUUACUCCGGAUUAGCAUCUAAGGUCCUGCUAAGGUUUCAAGUCCCCAAUGCCUGCAGUGGAGGAAAACCAACCCUGUGCUAGUUAACCCAGAGAACUUAACCGAUGGCAAUCUAGCUAACUAAUAGGAAAGAUUGGAGGGCCAUCUCUGGUUUUGAAAGAAUUCAACGAUGGGCUGGGGGAAAAGAAACAAACAAACAACAACAACUAAAGAAAAGAGUUGAAGCAAGAAUACCGAGAAUAGAAACAUCUCUGUUCAUCCAGAGGACCGAAUCUGUAAGAUUCCAACGCUCCCUGGGCAACCCCCCGUGGGAGGCCACCUGUAAGAGUAAAAGACCUUCAGCCCCUGGGGGCUCUUUGGGCUCUAUACUUUACGUUCAAAUACCCAGCCUGCGGUUCUGUGCCGUGCUAAAUCUGGUGAUGGUCUUUCUGAAGGUACACCUGUCCAUUAAGAAUGGCAACCGAGACUCCCAACUCAUUUUACGUAGGCUACCGCACAGCCGUGGGAGUUAAUGACUUUGGAGUGUUUUGUCUUUGACAAUAAGCUGAAAUCUUGACUAUGCAAUUGACUGCAACUGCAUAAAUUGCUAUUUGGAACGAAUCUUAAUAUAUACACUUGUGUAUAUGAAUACAGCUAGCUGCACUUUCCCCAUACGAUCACGGUUGUUAACGUUCUACCCAUUUUAAGUGAGCAAAUUUGAAUAAAAUGGCUGCGUAAUACAUUCUGCGUUAACAUCAGCUAUUUAAAGAGCCCAAGGAUUAAAAGUUAAUUCCAUCCUUUUAAUUCAAGGGACAUAUAAAUGGCAUUAUGGGUAGAGCCAACCCCUUUUUUAUCAGCCCUUUCAUGCUGCCUCCUCACUAAUUCUUGGUUGUUCAAAUGCUACCUACAUAAUAAAAGCCUUGAGUUAAUUUACUAAGAUUUUACACCAGUGGAAAUGAAAGAAAGGAAAGUGCUAAACAAGGCAAUUAGCACUCUGUUUAGUGCACUCCCAAAAUAAAUGUAGGCAAUUUACAAUUUGGCAAAUGGCUCUCUAUCCAGAUCCAACUCAUUUAUGCCUAAGGGGGUGGUACAGUUCAUUAGGGGGAAAAAGUGUUUAUAUAUAUUAUGCUAUUGAGGCCCAACCCAUUUUGUACUCCAGCAACAGAUGCGACUCCUCCUGCGGUUUAUUAGUGUUUCUUGCAGAAAAAUGCCAAACUAUUAUGCUUUCAAAUAAAUGGUCCAAAAAGAAUGCCUUGUCCUAUUGAGUAUUAGGAGCUAGCUUUACAAGAUGGGGGUGUCUGAGUGGUUGUCGGGCAUGGCUUGCAAAACCUAGUCAUGGGCCGGAGCCUCUUUUGUGGCUCUUGAAGCAUGCAUUUCCACUCUGAUUCCAGUAGCCGAGAUCCGCUGGAACUGUUCAUUUGAAGGACUGCUGACUGCUUCUUAAUUGACAGGAAGGUUGCUCCGAGACUUUCAUGUUUAUUCUUGUAAGCCUCUUAUUAGCGCAAAAAUAAUAGAUGCUGUUAAUGCAGAAUCACAACCGACAUUAAUAUUUAAGAUGCUGGAACGAUAAAGGUUAAACAUGUGUUUAUAUUGCUUUUGA
Long non-coding RNA from Prionailurus viverrinus (fishing cat), 1656 nucleotides. RefSeq lists it as uncharacterized. The record is from RefSeq and is a predicted model, not a curated record. The transcript is spliced from 3 exons. NCBI's taxonomy places the organism in Eukaryota, Metazoa, Chordata, Mammalia, Carnivora, Felidae.